Molecule: ribosomal RNA, 274 nt
Filed under: uncultured bacterium
Lineage: Bacteria
Description: partial 16S ribosomal RNA
Rfam family: Bacterial small subunit ribosomal RNA
Source: RNAcentral
AUACGGAGGGUGCAAGCGUUAAUCGGAAUUACUGGGCGUAAAGCGCACGUAGGCGGAUUGGAAAGUUGGGGGUGAAAUCCCAGGGCUCAACCCUGGAACUGCCUCCAAAACUAACAGUCUAGAGUUCGAGAGAGGUGAGUGGAAUUCCAAGUGUAGAGGUGAAAUUCGUAGAUAUUUGGAGGAACACCAGUGGCGAAGGCGGCUCACUGGCUCGAUACUGACGCUGAGGUGCGAAAGCGUGGGGAGCAAACAGGAUUAGAAACCCUAGUAGUCC